This 253-nucleotide ribosomal RNA is filed under the name uncultured bacterium. RNAcentral's name for it is "partial 16S ribosomal RNA". It matches the Rfam family "Bacterial small subunit ribosomal RNA", at positions 524 to 776 of the family's 1533-position model. The record is from RNAcentral.
UACAGAGGAGCCAAGCGUUGUCCGGAUUGACUGGGCGUAAAGCGCACGCAGGCGGUCUGGCGCGUGGGGUGUGAAAUCUGGCCGCUUAACGGCCAGGCGCCAUCCCAUACGGCCGGACUGGAGGGCUGCAGAGGUCGAUGGAAUUGCCGGUGUAGUGGUGAAAUGCGCAGAUAUCAGGAGGAACACCGGUGGCGAAGGCGGAUCUCUGGGCCUUACCUGACGCUCAGGUGCGAAAGCUAGGGGAGCGAACAGG